GACAGCAGCAGCCACGGUAAUACGAAGGGUGCAAGCGUUACUCGGAAUUACUGGGCGUAAAGCGUGCGUAGGUGGUGGUUUAAGUCCGUUGUGAAAGCCCUGGGCUCAACCUGGGAAUUGCAGUGGAUACUGGGUCACUAGAGUGUGGUAGAGGAUAGUGGAAUUUCCGGUGUAGCAGUGAAAUGCGUAGAGAUCGGAAGGAACAUCUGUGGCGAAGGCGACUAUCUGGGCCAACACUGACACUGAGGCACGAAAGCGUGGGGAGCAAACAGGAUUAGAUACCCCAGUAGUCCCUGUCUCUUAUAC
This 306-nucleotide ribosomal RNA is filed under the name uncultured bacterium. Its description in RNAcentral is "partial 16S ribosomal RNA". It matches the Rfam family "Bacterial small subunit ribosomal RNA", at positions 507 to 807 of the family's 1533-position model. The record is from RNAcentral.